RNAcentral lists this ribosomal RNA (254 nucleotides) under uncultured bacterium. RNAcentral describes it as "partial 16S ribosomal RNA". It matches the Rfam family "Bacterial small subunit ribosomal RNA", at positions 524 to 776 of the family's 1533-position model. The record is from RNAcentral.
UACGAAGGGGGCUAGCGUUGCUCGGAAUGACUGGGCGUAAAGGGCGCGUAGGCGGCGGUCACAGUCAGAUGUGAAAUUCCUGGGCUUAACCUGGGGGCUGCAUUUGAUACGUGGUUGCUUGAGUGGGGAAGAGGGUCGUGGAAUUCCCAGUGUAGAGGUGAAAUGCGUAGAUAUCUGGAGGAACACCGGUGGCGAAGGCGGCAUCCUGGACCAACACUGGCGCUGAGUGAGCGAAAGCCAGGGGAGCAAACGGG